Molecule: ribosomal RNA, 462 nt
Filed under: uncultured Planctomycetaceae bacterium
Lineage: Bacteria; Pseudomonadati; Planctomycetota; Planctomycetia; Planctomycetales; Planctomycetaceae
Description: bacterial SSU rRNA
Rfam family: Bacterial small subunit ribosomal RNA
Source: RNAcentral
CCUACGGGAGGCAGCAGUGGGGAAUCUUCGGCAAUGGGCGCAAGCCUGACCGAGCGACGCCGCGUGUGGGAUGAAGGCCUUCGGGUUGUAAACCACUGUCAGAGGGGAUGAAAUGCAGGUGGGUUCUCCCAUCUGUUUGACAUAGCCUCAGAGGAAGGACGGGCUAAGUUCGUGCCAGCAGCCGCGGUAAGACGAACCGUCCAAACGUUAUUCGGAAUCACUGGGCUUAAAGGGUGCGUAGGCGGCGCGGCAAGUUGGGUGUGAAAUCCCUCGGCUCAACCGAGGAACUGCGCCCAAAACUGCCGUGCUCGAGGGAGAUAGAGGUGAGCGGAACUUAGGGUGGAGCGGUGAAAUGCGUUGAUAUCCUAAGGAACACCGGUGGCGAAAGCGGCUCACUGGAUCUCUUCUGACGCUGAGGUGCGAAAGCUAGGGUAGCGAACGGGCUUAGAUACCCCUGUAGUC